CAACACAAUUACCUUUCUGUGAUGUUUGGAGACAGGCAAGCAUCAUCUUGUCAGCGGAAGGAACCACGAACCUGAAGCAUAAAUCGGAUGACCACUUCCCUCAGGCGCCUUCUUCAACUAGAAGGCGAGCAUCGUCGAAGAUAAUCAGUGGUCCGCGGGCAUCAUAAACCAGUGACGAUGAACAUGAACCAUCGGCGUGCCCGGAUACAACAAACACCGAAGGAUCUGGCGCAUCAACCGAUUCAGGCGUCGCAAGCAGAUCGCCAGAAAAUCUCAGACGAACUUGGCUCAAGGGAUAGGCAAAUCCUCCGCUACAGGAACACCUCUUCGGAUCGGAUGACACGGCAUCCUGGAUCAAAAAGAACAGACCACUAACCGUGCCGUGAGAUCUGAAAAGCGUGACUCUCGAAACUCAUCCGGUGUCCGAAUAACAUCGUCCAAUAUAUCAAUCUUUAUGUCUCGACCAUUUCGAGACUCCUCGUCAUGUCCGUGAUCACAUCCGGGACUCCGAACUAACUUCGGUACAUCAAAACACAUAAACUCAUAAUACCAAUCGUCACCGAACGUUAAGCGUGCGGACACUACGGGUUCGAGAACUAUGUAGACAUGACUGAGACUCAUCUCCGGUCAAUAACCAAUAGCGGAACCUGGAUGCUCAUAUUGGUUCCUACAUAUUCUACGAAGAUCUUUAUCGGUCAAACCACAUAACAACAUGCGUUGUUCCCUUUGUCAUCGGUAUGUUACUUGCCCGAGAUUCGAUCGUCGGUAUCUCAAUACCUAGUUCAAUCUCGUUACCGGCAAGUCUCUUUACUCGUUCCGUAAUGCAUCAUCCCGUGACUAACUCAUUAGUCACAUUGCUUGCAAGGCUUAUAGUGAUGUACAUUACCGAGAGGGCCCAGAGAUACCUCUCUGAUAAUCGGAGUGACAAAUCCUAAUCUCGAUCUAUGCCAACUCAACAAACACCAUCGGAGACACUUGUAGAGCAUCUUUAUAAUCACCCAGUUACGUGACGUUUGAUAGCACACAAAGUGUUCCCCCGGUAUUCGGGAGUUGCAUAAUUUCAUAGUCAUAGGAACAUUUAUAAGUCAUGAAGAAAGCAAUAGCAACAUACUAAACGAUCAAGUGCUAAGCUAACGGAAUGGGUCAAGUCAAUCACAUAAUUCUCUAAUGAUGUGAUCCCGUUCAUCAAAUGACAACUCAUGUCUAUGGCUAGGAAACUUAACCAUCUUUGAUUAACGAGCUAGUCAAGUAGAGGCAUACUAGUGACACUCUGUUUGUCUAUGUAUUCACACAUGUACUAAGUUUCCGGUUAAUACAAUUCUAGCAUGAAUACUAAACAGUUAUCAUGAUAUAAGGAAAUAUAAAUAACAACUUUAUUAUUGCCUUUAGGGCAUAUUUCCUUCAAUAAUUGUAUGUAUAACUAUAAGAAAAAAGGAAGGGAAAAUGUAUAAGAUUAAGAAAGCUUGUGGGUUAGAGAUAUAGAAAAUAAAACUAAUUGGCUCUUAUCCAUUUAAAAAAUUGGAAUAGUAAAGAAAAGUAGACAUGAUGUUGUUUUAUUUUAUCGCAUUAGAAAAGACAAUCCAUAUCAUAUGUACCUAACCUUCCAUGACGCGGAGCAUCCUAUGAAAAUCACCAUGUCAAUAGCCCCUUUGUAAGAGACACGUGCAACCUCUACUUCAAACAUAUAAAUGUGAAUUUUCUCUUUUACAUGUGUCUUUUUGUCCCCUUCGAGGAUGGUAUACUAUUUGUCCAUCCAUCAUGCACGUAUAGGUUUGAAUGGAGCUUCACGGAUGACGAGGAAUGCAUGCAUAAGAGAACAUCUACACCAUCCGCGAAGGAAGCUUGGAAGAGGCGACGAAAGAAGCAUCAAGUAGAGAACCACCAAACAUCCGGUGCCACGUGAAGAUGGGCCACCAGAAGUGCCCAAAGACUGGACAUGCUAGGACGUCUGGAAUGGACCAAACCUCCAAUGUGUGUGCCUCCGACCAUACAUCUGAUGUGUACCAGAAAUCCGGUGUCAGGCACGCAAAGCAAAGUCAACAGUAAAUACUAGAGUUCCCUAUACCUAUCGAAUGUCCUGCACGUAACAACUAGGGUUUCGACUCAUGUACCUACCCUUUCACCCCUAACACUAUAAAUAGACGCUCCCUUCUCAUUUUUAGGGUUAGCUAAAAAUAGAAAGAAAAGAGAGAGCUUAGCUCAUCUACCUCCCCUAGUGGGAUUCUUAUUAGGAGUAGAUACAUGAGUGAAUUCAAGACCUCUUAGGAGAAUAAUCAUCUAUGGUUAUCAAGACCUCUACGAAGAAAGAUUCCCAAGUGUAUCGUCAAGCCCCAUCUCUCCAAAAGAUUUGGAUGAACUACCUCUCAAGAACUACCAUUUAUCUUUAUUUCUCUUGUUCUUAGAUUUUGAUGCACCUCAAGUAUUGCUUAUGAUUUGAGGAGUACCUGAUGUGGAUCUUGUCCAAUAGAACGUUCUCCCUUUGAUUUCUCCACGUUUCCCCAUGUUCUUUGUCAAUGGUGGUCGCCCUACCUUGGUUUGUCCGGUGCAAGCAGGGUGCAAGGCGGCACAUUAGCGCGGCGGCGUUGCCGGUGGCGAGUGACCAAAGCCUGCCCUACUUCAACUUCUAUUCGUCCUACAUCACUAUUUUUUGUGUUCCUCCUCGAAUCCACCUUCAAUUCAUGAAGAUCGGGCAACUAGGGCUCCUACGCUACAUCUAGGGUUUCUGCGACAAAAUCAAAUUUGAAGAUUAUUUUCUUCUUGUAAGAGAUCAUGUCUAGUAGAAUCGACAAGAUUGAGCCAAGGCCCCACCCUGAGACAACUAGAAAGCUUUCUUUGGGAAGUUUCCUCAUAGAGCCCUCCCAAAGUUUCAUAUCUGAAGCAAGUUUUCAAGAAACUAGCAAAGCUUGGUUGAAGGCCCUCGUGACGGAAAAACCAAUCCCACCUUUGUACUUUGCCGGUCUCAUCUUGUUCCAACUCAACCAGGCCAUAAAGAAUAAAAAUAAAGUGAGAACUGAAAAUGUACUCCCAAACCACAAAAGGAUCUUGAUGGAGUCGAACCAUCAUUCCCAGCAAUUUGUUUGCUGGAAUGCUCUUUCCAGUCCAGAGCUUAAGAUCCACGAUUUAUUCAUUUAUUUUAUAAUAAAAAAAUCGGACCAAACCAGCUGUAGAUAUCGUAAGUUGACAAAAUACUAUCACAUCCAAUUUGAAUACCACAGACUGCUUGCUAAAGUUUAAUUUGCUGAUCACAAAUGAAGGCAUAAAAAUGAGAAUACUAGCAAAGAAUGAUCCCAACUUCCAAAUUUAGAGAUAUUAUUGUGCAUUUUUUUUAUAGAAUAACGAAUCAUAAUUUAUUAAGAUAGUUUUGAAGAAAAAAAAGCUACAAAGAACUUUUCUGAUGAUAGUCUGUAAAUACGGAGAAAAUGCAAUCAAAUCAGGAAAUCAGCGAGCUCAAAAUGCCUACCUAACCAGGUUUCCUCGUUGGAGAAGCAACUGUUGCACCUAAACACGAAAGCUACAGCACAACAAGUCAAAGACUGCGUACCUCUGACAAUGCCAUAUAUGCAUGGCUAGGAAUUGCAUGCAAAUGUAAGAUUAUAUAUAACCAGACGAACCAGUAUGGAAUGUGAAACCAGCCCUUCCCGAAUAAAGCUCCUCCUACAGGUUUCAGCAAGACAUUGCUGAGCAAAAAUGGCAUUCACACUAAAAAAAAAUUCUGAUAUGACGAGCUAUACAUCCAUUAAGAACAUCUGGACAAGCUCAAGUUCUCAAGGCCAUUAACAAGGCAUCAAUUUUGGAAGAAUAAAAAGUAUACAAAGGGGAACACAAGUCCAACAAUGGUAUUUACAGAAUUGAUAAUAAAUAUGUACACCACGUAGUAGAACAAAUGGAACUCACCUGUGCACACAUCAUGAGAACUAACAGGAAAUAGUUGAAUUAUGACAAAGGUACAGAGCUCGUAACAUUGUACAAUAAAAUUUUUGCAGAGAAAACAAAGCUUCUCGGAAAAGCCUGCAAACGGCUUUUUUCUAAAAGAAGACAUUGUAACAUUGAACAAGAAUGCUGAUGAUCUCUCGUGGGGUGCAAGAGUACAAUAUUUACAUGUAUGAUAGAUCUCAUAUCAAGCCAAAAUAAGGUUGUUCAUUGACGAAGAGUUGGGAUGACGUGCAUAUGCAAAUUUAAAUUGAUGUAGCGAAGUGCUUGCCCGAUAGAAGCAGUUAGAUGUACCUUCGUUUGUAGUAUCAUUAAUCUUCAGUACGUAGUUAUCACUGCACCCAGGCCUACAUUUGCUAUGUAGGAUCGUGGUGCAAUUUUAGAUGAUCUUGUGGAAUCAACAACACAGGGCAAGGUCAGAGACACCAUGACAGGGUGGAGAACCCGGGCAAAAUAGAACAAAUUGAUAGUUCCCCGUGCGAUCUCCACCCCGCAAACACCAACAAAAUAUACGUUUUAUUGUCUCGUGGCCUGCCAAGCGAGCGCACCCGUCAUGGCAAAGACCGUCCUACCUACCAAUGUAGUACAGCAAGUAAUACAACACAUGCGCAUCAAUCUGCUUACCAACACAAUUACCUUUCUGCAAUGUUCGGAGACAGGCAAGCAUCACCUUGUCAGCAAAAGGAACCAUGAACGCCAUAUCUAGAUUUGAUCAGCAAACAUGAAGCAUAACUAGGAUGACCAAUUCCCUCCUGCGCCUUGUGGACAGCAGCAAGCACUGGAGAGCCUUCAUCAACUAGACGACCAUUGUCGAAAAUAUGCAGAGUAACCAAAAAUUCUGGAAAAGCUUGUGCUGCAAAAAGUUAACAACUCUCUUUUUCUAACAGAAGACAUUGCAUUGAAAAAGAAUGCUAAUGAAGUAAUGAUAUCUUAUUGAUAUUUCAGUACUAUCGUGCUGGCGCGGUGCAAGAGUACAAGAUUUACAGGUAUGAACGAUUUGUAUCAAACCAAAAUAUGGUUGUUCAGUAUGGUUAUGUUUUGCGUUGGGGUGACGUGCGAUAUGCAAAUUUAAAUUGAUAUAACGAAGUGCUUGCCUGAUAGAAGCAGCUAGAUGUACCUUGGUUUGUAGUUAUCAUCGAUCUUGAGUAUGCAGUUAUCAUUGAUCUUCAGUACGUAGUUAUCGCUGCACCUGUCGAUAUAUUUGAUAUGAAGGAUCGCGGUGUACUUAAGAUGAUAUAGCGGAAUCAACAAAGAUGAUGUCACGGAAUCAACAACACGAGAGAAGGACAGAGACACCAUGGCAGGGUGGAGAACCCGGGCAAAAUAGAACAAAUUGAUAGUUCCCGUGCGAUCUCCACCCCGCAAACACCAGCAAAAUAUUCAUUUUAUUGUCUCAUGGCCUGCCAAGCGAGCGCACCCGACAUGGCAAAGGCCGUCCUACGCUACCAAUGCAGUACAACAUGUAAUAAUACAGCACGCACGUACACACAUGCGCGUCAAUCAGCCUACCAACACAAUUACCUUUCUGUGAUGUUUGGAGACAGGCAAGCAUCAUCUUGUCAGCAGAAGGAACCACGAACCUGAAGCAUAAAUCGGAUGACCACUUCCCUCAGGCGCCUUCUUCAACUAGAAGGCGAGCAUCGUCGAAGAUAAUCAGUGGUCAGCAGGCAUCAUAAACCAGUGACGAUGAACAUGAACCAUCGGCGUGCCCGGAACAAAAACCGAAGGAUCUGGCGCAUCAACCGAUUCAGGCGUCGCAAGCGUAUCGCCAGAAAAUCUUAGACGAACUUGGCUCAAGGGAUACACAUGUACCAGAGAGGCAAAUCCUCCGCUACAGGAACACCUCUUCGGAUCGGAUGACACAUCAUCCUGGAUCAGAAGGAACAGACCACUAACCGUGCCGUGAGAUCUGAAAAGCGUCCAGAAGAUCGUCUAGUAACUUAUCUAGAGAAUAUAUAUACUGGCUCCAUGCAUGAAGAAAGGAGUUGGGGAAUUAUAAUUCGGAAAGUAACAACGUAGAAAAAGAUAUAUGGAUCUAGAUCUAGCCUUGCUAACAAGCAAAAUUAUACCUACGCAAUCACGACACAACCUUACUGUGAUCUGAAAUACCCUGGAUUCUAAUUCGAAAACCGAAAGGAACAGGAGGAACAAGAUUAGAUUAGGUGCACCUCACGAUUCUCGCGACGAAACAAAGACGAGACUGCGACGGGCGAUGGGAGCAGGAGAGGACGGGGCGAUCGAGGGGAAAGGCGUAAAUAAAAGGGAAGGGAGGGUGGCUGGUG
This 6212-nucleotide long non-coding RNA is filed under the name Triticum aestivum (bread wheat). Its description in RNAcentral is "long non-coding RNA (TAES_LNC012924)". The record is from RNAcentral. Lineage: Eukaryota; Viridiplantae; Streptophyta; Magnoliopsida; Poales; Poaceae.